Molecule: ribosomal RNA, 253 nt
Filed under: uncultured prokaryote
Description: partial 16S ribosomal RNA
Rfam family: Bacterial small subunit ribosomal RNA
Source: RNAcentral
ACGAAGGGGGCUAGCGUUGCUCGGAAUUACUGGGCGUAAAGCGCACGUAGGCGGCUCUUUAAGUCGGGGGUGAAAUCCUGGAGCUCAACUCCAGAACUGCCUUCGAUACUGGAGAGCUUGAGUCCGGGAGAGGUGAGUGGAAUUCCUAGUGUAGAGGUGAAAUUCGUAGAUAUUAGGAAGAACACCAGUGGCGAAGGCGGCUCACUGGCCCGGUACUGACGCUGAGGCGCGAAAGCGUGGGGAGCAAACAGGA